UCCUCGUCACGUCGGAAUCUCUCUCUCUCUCUCUCUCUCUCUCUCUCUCUCUCUCUCUCUACAUCUAUCUAUUACUCGUCCUCUCUCUCUCUCUACACUUUAUUCUAUGCAUCCCUAUUUCCUUUUUAUCAACAGUUAAUAUUCUGUAAUUUGUUGCAGGAGGCUUUGGUUUCUUGUUAGAUGUGAAUCCAUCCAUAAACGAUCUUCUUCCUGAUGUUAGCAAACUGUCCCACGAAAGGAAGGUAUGCGAUUUUGUCGAGUUGGACUUCUCGGCACUCCUUGCCCUAGGUUUUUCCCAUAUCUGUAGUCAUCGAUUCAUUUAUCGAAGUUCCUUAGGAGUUAGGAUCCUUUUAUACAACCAGAGUGAUCAUGAAUUAGCAGUUGUUUUCUACGGGACUCUUAAGGCACAAUUAAUGUCUCAAAAAAUAUGAAUAUUAUUUUUGACAACAAGAUUGUGAACAACUGUUUUCUUCCUUCUUCUUUUUUCCCUACUAGAAGCUUUUGAUUCUCUCCUUUCAUUAUUUGGUUCGUUAAUCGUUUGCAUUUGAUUAGUUUUCGAAGUGCUGAAUCCUGAUUUGUGGAAUGUUUAGAUACUGAUAAUGAGAUCGAAAAAGAGACACAGUGAAGAGACCUCUACUUCCCUAAAACAAACACACUUCAGAGGAGUGAGAAAGAGGCCAUCCAUAGAAGAAAACCAGGAAAUGGCUUGGAAAUCAAAAUUAUGGCUGCACUAUUAGAAAAGGGUCGUUCAUGAAAAGCUUAAAAAAUGGACCAUGCAACUCCCUUUGGCAUUGUCUUCUCUCUCUCAUUGAUACUGUCACUGGGUGGAGCUCCUUUUUGUCCAUUUAUUUGGCUAUAUGUGCUUGGAUGAUGCAUAUGUAUACAUGAAUGUGUAUGUUUUUUGUAUUAAGCUUAAACGCACUCAUUCUAUGGUAUGAUACAUCAUCUUUGCUCA
RNAcentral lists this long non-coding RNA (955 nucleotides) under Amborella trichopoda. Its description in RNAcentral is "long non-coding RNA (ATRI_LNC003006)". Lineage: Eukaryota; Viridiplantae; Streptophyta; Magnoliopsida; Amborellales; Amborellaceae. The record is from RNAcentral.